Molecule: long non-coding RNA, 3458 nt
Organism: Peromyscus californicus insignis
Lineage: Eukaryota; Metazoa; Chordata; Mammalia; Rodentia; Cricetidae
Exons: 3
Source: RefSeq, a predicted model, not a curated record
CUUCAACCCCUCCGCUCCAGGAGAACCAGGCAGUGGGAUUUCUGCCCACUGGGUGCCCGCUGAGCACAGCCAGUAACUCCAGCCUCCCGGCCCACUUGGCUCCUGGUGAGAGAAGUAGCGUAGGCGAAGGCCAUAGGUCCUGUGCAUCUUAGUUUCCUCAUCGAUGGACAUCCAGGAGAACGUUCUUCCACCGACGACGGACGGCUGUUGAGGGCUUUCUACGGACCCUGAAGCAGUGCUCAGCAUGGGUCGACCUAGAGUAAACCCUGAAGCAGUAAGCUGUGCCACCAUGCAUCAGUACCCAGCACCAUUCAUAUGUGCACCACCACCUCCAUCUUCUGUGACAGAUGUACACCACCACCUCCAUCUUCUCUGACAGAUGUGCACCACCACCUCCAUCUUCUAUGACAGAUGUGCACCACCACCUCCAUCUUCUAUGACAGAUGUGUGCCACCACCUCCACCUUCUGUGACAGAUGUGCACCACCACCUCCAUCUUCUAUGACAGAUGUGCACCACCACCUCCAUCUUCUAAACUGGUCUCAAUCACUGGUUCUCAAUUAAGAGUAAUUUUGUUCUUUAGCAUACCUCUGGUAAUGUCUAAGAUAAUGUUCAUGGUUACAGUGUGGAUAAGAAGGUUAUGGGUUGGUCAGUCUUAACUUGACUGUUUUGAGAUGUAGGUAGGAGAUUGGUAAGUCACACGUCUGGGUGUCUGUGAGGAUGUUACCCAUGGGUAGGGAGAACUGCUCUGAAUGUGAGCAUCACCACUGUAGCAUGAAUCUUAAAAGUUCUUAUUAAUAAAAACAAACCCAGGGCCAGGUACUGGGGUGAAUGCUGGAAGAUCAGAGAUGCAGAACAAGCCACAGCUUCCUCACCUCACCAAUUCCUCAGCUGAUCCUGUUUCCUCAAACUGGAAGCUUCUGAGUCCUCAUCCAAAUGGAUCUCAGCUGAACUGCUGCUAAAAAGCCUAAAUGCUUAACCAGCCUAAAAGCUUAACCAGCCUAAUUCCUGGUUUUCACGCCUUAUAUACCUUUCUGCUUUCUGCCAUCACUUCCUGGGAUUAAAGGCUCACUUCCUGGGAUUAAAGGCGUGAGUCACCAUGCCUGGCUGUUUCCAGUGUGGCUUUGAACUCACAGAGAUCCAGAUGGAUCUCUGCCUCCCAAGUGAUAGGAUUAAAGGUGUGUGUGCCACCAUUUUCUGACCUCUAUGUCUGUCUAGUGGCUGUUCUGUUCUCUGACCCUAGAUAAAUUUAUUAGGCUGCAUGAUAUAUUGGGGAACAUAAUAUCACCACACACCACCUCCUAGUCUGGGGACCCAGGGGAGUAAAGGGGAAGGAGGAAGAGGCUGCAGAGCACUGGUGCGCUGCUCUCUCUGGGACUCGGUGGCCAUGAGUGAAGAAGCAGCUUGGUUCUCUGUGCCUUUCCAUCCCAAAGUACUGCCUUGCCACAAACCAGAAGCAGGGAGCCAGCUGUACCAGGACUAGAACCUCUGAAACUGAGGCCAAACGAUUCUUCCCCUCUUCCUCUUAAGUAAUUUCUCUUUAGGUAUUGGUAAGAACCCCCACCCCUCUUUCACACAUACACACACACACACACACACACACACACACACACACACACACACACACAUACACGGCUGAUGACAUCUAGUAGGUAGAGACCAGGAGUCUCUAAACAUGGGAUCCAACAGGAAAAUCCUCAACAAAGAAUUUCCCCACCCCAAAAUGUUACCAAGGCCAAGACUGAGGAGCCCUCUUUAAAUGAGUUUUUGUUUGUUUGGUUGGUUGGUUGGUUAGUUAGUUUUAGGGGGUUUUGUUGUUGUUGUUGUUGUAUUAGGUCUGGAAGAUGUAUCUAUUGAAAACAGAACUUUAACUGUAGUAAGAGAAAAACUAUUUAUUGCUUAUUAAGCUUUAUUUAGUGAGUAUGUUAUGAUCAAUGCAACUAAUUCUUAAAUGAAAGAUAUUGGGUUUAAGAAAUGGCAAUUAUGUGAAAUAUAGUAUACACAAUUAAUACACAAUAAUGACAUGAAACAAAUGAUUAUACAUUUUCAUUUCAUGCACAUUUACUUUGUUAUGACAAUUUCUUAAUGAAAUUACUUUCAUGGUAUAAAAAGAUACUGCCUUCUAAAACACUUAAUGAAUAAUUAACAAAGGCCCCAGCAGUAUAGAUUUAAACAGGACAAGCAGAUCUUUUCCCUCUUUUGGGAGAAAUAUUUAAAUAGAACUCAGGUAAUUAAUUAUGCUUGAAGGUAGUUUAGAUGCUAUGUGUUAAAAUUCUGGGUAGUACAUCACCACAUAAUCAUAUCCAUUUUAGCAAGCAUAUUGGUUUAUUUACAGCUGGGUUGCUAUUUUCUCUUCCAUCAUUUCUUACCCUCUCCGUUUACAAUAUAGCCACAUAUAGCAUAUGCAAGAUUGAAAAAUGCCAAGUCCAGUUGACAUGGGAAUGGGAAUGGGAAAAUUUCACAAGAUCCCACCCCUCCACAACAAGCUAUGGGCUCCCAAUGGCUGCUAAGAGAGGAAGAAUCAGCCUUCUCCAGUGACGAGCUCCAUCGUAAGCCGUCAGCCCUAAAGACGUGUGAAUACAGGCAACAGUAAGUGGGUUCCGCCUGCUGUCCAUGUACACAUACACCCGAGUUUCGUAUGCAUACAUAUGCAAAAUGACAAUUGUAGGAGGAGAGAUCAUGAAUUUGAUCGGGAGUAUGGCAGGGGAUGCAACAUGGCUGAAACACAUUAUUUAUGUAGACCAAUCUGGAAUCAAACUCAGAAAGAUUUGCCUUUGUCUGUUUUCCAAGUGCUGGUAUUAAAGACAUGUGCUACCAUGCCCAGAAAAAAAGUUUAAAUUUUUAAAAAGACAUUAUUUAUUUAUUUAUUCGUUUGUUUAUUUGUUUGUGAGUGUGUGUAUAUGUGUGCGUGUGUGCACGUGUAUGUGCGCGCGCGCGCGCGUGUGCGUGUGCGUGCACGCACACGAUGUGUAUGCCACGUGCCUCGCAGGUCAGAAGAAGACAUCAGAUCUCCUGGAACUGAAGAUGGUUGUGAACUAUCAUAUGAAUGCUGGGAACUGAACCUCAGUCCUCUGCAAGAACAACUAGCACUCUCAACGGCUGAGUCAUCUCUACAGCUCCCCUCAAACCAUUCUCUACCCGGAAGAUGCUUCUGAAAUUUCAUCCACUCUGCUUCCUCGAGUGCCUUAGCUCCCACAGGCUCUGAAUCCCGGGCCUUGGCACACACAGGCUAUUGUCAAGUGGUGCCUGAGUGCUGGGCUGGGGAGUCUCACGUAAUGGCAUUUAUUUGAGAGCUUGUUAGAGCCAAGAGCCAUUGCACCACACUGCCUUCCCACUUUCGGACGCUUAGUUCACCGGUGCACUGGUUGGCAUUUUAGAGCGGCUCUCGGGGAAAGCCCAUUUUGCCCAGUCUGUGGUAUUUGACAAUUUCCAUGGCGCAACUAUUCCAACCUUUGCCAA